CUGAGGCAGGAGAAUCUUGAACUCAGGAGGUGGAGGUUGCAGUGAGCCGAGAUUGCGCCACUGCACUCCAGCCUGGGUGACAGAGUGAGAUUCCGUCUCAAAAAAAAAAAAAAACAAAAACUCAGACCCUGCUUUCCUUUGAAUAUAUACUAGAAGUGGAAUUGCUGGAUCAUAUGGUAAUUCUUUAAUUUUUCUGGGGGAACUGCUGUCCCAUUUUCCACAGCAGCUACACCAUUUUAUGUUCCCACCAACGGUGUACAACAAUUUCAAUUUCUCCACAUCCUUGUUCUUGUUAAUAGUAGCCACCCUAAUGUGUAUGAGGUGCCAUCUCGUGGUUUGGUGUGGGCUGUGUUUCAAUCAGAUGUUGGGACCCUUAAGUGUUCUGCACCUGGGGAGAGUUAGGAACCACUUAAGGAGUGUCUGUUGCUUGCCAAUCUUAAAAUUUUUAGUUUGCACCUGAAUCAGGGGCUGUCAGAGUCCAGACUGCUCUUGAAAUAGAAAAGACUGGUCGUUAAAGGCUGGUUCGUUGAGUCUUUCAUCGUUGAGUGAUACCACCUCUGCAGAUGGCUCAGUGGGGCAGCCCCGUACCACAGCCUGCCCUUGAGGUUGUGUAGUUUAGAUAGGUCACAGAGUUGCUGGGCCUACCGCAGGUCUCCUGACCCUGGUGCAGUUUUACUUCAAUUACAACCACCAAAAUAGCUACAGUCAAAAAUUCCAAAGUUCCUACACCAUCAACCUCCACCCCACUUCCGUCCAAAGUCCACUUAGAGGCUCUCAGUUUUGGACCUUAGAAACACUUAGGGAGCUUUUUAAAAAGAUCGAUUCUGUAUUUUUAGUAGAGAUGGGGUUUCACCCAGCUACUCAGGAGGCUGAGGCAGGAGAAUCACUUGAACCGGGGAGUUGGAGGUUGCAGUGAGCCGAGAUUAUGUCACUCCAGCCUGGGCAACAGAGUGAGACUCCGUCUUAGGAAAAAAAAAAAGAUUGAUUCUGGCCGGGCACAGUGGCUCACGCUUACAGUCCCAGCACUUUAAGAGACUCAGGCAGGAGGAUCACUUGAGCUUAGGAGUUUGAGACUAGCCUGGGCAACCCAGUGAGACCCCGUAUCUACAAAAAUUAGCCAGGUGUUGUGACAUGUGCCUGUGGUCCCAGCUACUCAAGAGGCUGAGGUGAGAGGAGCAAGUGAGCCCAGGAGUUCAAGGCUGCAAUGAGCUGUGAUCGCACCACUGCACUCCAGCUCGGGUGACAAGAGUGAGACCCCGUCUGAAAAAAAGAUUGAUCCCAAGGCCUUGCCCAGAUUCUGAUUUUAUUGGCCUGGAGUGUGGCCUAGGCAUUAGAAAAUCUUCAAGAGAGUCUAAGGUGCAGCGGAAUUGAGAGCCACGGACAGAAAAAGCCCUAAAUUGUGGAAAUGCACAGCCACCGUCACCACCUAUCGGUACGAUGACAUCUCAAGGAGUCACUGGCCCUAGGUUUCUGCAGUAGGAUCUUAAGAUCUGAUCUCUGCCCUCAAGUGAGUGCACGUGCAGUAAAGCUGUCAUCGUGCCAUGACAGAUGUCUGCAAGGACUUUACAGUGGGGUCCAAAGGAUGCCACCAUCAGCUCCACCUGGGGCUCAACAAAGCCUGAAAGAAGAAAGGGAUGAUGCUUCCAGCAGAAACCUGGAGGCCUGCAGCUCUGCCAGCCCAGCACAGCAAGCGAGGCCAUUUGUCCAGCAGGGGCAGAAGGAGGGAACUCAGCCAGCCAGCGUUUCCUACAAGCAGCUCCAUGAGAGGUUUCCACUUAAAAUGCUAAAUCAUAAUUAUUUAAUCAGAUUCGUUCCUUAAGUUCUUUAAGCAGCAUCGCUGUCCUACCACGAGUGGUCAUCAAGGAGCAGGGUUUAACUCAACUCUGAGUUACCCGGCAGGGUACCUGGGUAACUGCCUGGGUUGAGGUACCCAGCAGGCUUCAUGUGCAUGUGCACACUGCCCCCUGAUAGGACCUGGUUUAUUCACAGGCUCAGGUGUCACUGCAGCUCCCCAGUGACUAUCUUCGCGCAAGUUGGACUCAAUGGCCUGGGAGGUUUGUCCCAGCCGACAGAUACCUGACCAUGCCCAUCCUCACCAUUCCCUCCCCCAUGCUGCAUCCAUCCAACCUUGAUCUCCACUGUGUCCCAGGCACCCUAAGAUGCACAAGCUAUGUGGGCCCUGCCCUCACAGAACUUGUAGUCUUCUGCCCCAAACAAGCCAGUUCACCGUCUUCAUGAUCAGGCCAAAGGUUGAGGUACCCAGCAGGCUUCAUAUGCACAUGCACACUGUCCCCUAUAGGACCAUGCCUUGCCCAGCUGGCUGCACUCUAGAGGGUGCUUUGUAGGAAGGACAGAGUGGAGAGGACAGUGGGGAGGUACUUGGGUGUUCAACAGCCAGAAGGGAGGGAAACUGAAAAAGAAUCAGGAGUCCAGCCAUCCCCUCCCCACCUCCUGCCCCCACUUCCACCCUGGCUGCUGGCCCUUUGCCCUUGAAUAUGGGUGAUAUAGGUGUGGCUAUUCAGUUCCAGUCACAGUGCUGCCUCUAUGUCUUUUGCAAGCUGGGGUCUUCCUUACUCAGAAGGCCUGGAGGCCCUGCCAGAUGCUGCCUUCCGGACUGGCUGCCCGCUGCAGUGUUUUCACGGGAGCCAAGCCAGCCCCGGGCCUGUAGCCUCCCAUGUGACAAAGUUUCAGACACCACAGUCCUCAGCUGGACCACAGUAAACACUUGCCUUCCCCAACCCAUGAUUCUUGCUUGGAAACAUGAACCUGAUGUUCCACGUGCGUUCAGCCAAUCAAACCUCAAGAAUGUGAUUGAGCAGUGAGGCUGCGUUUUGGGCAAGACACUGAGCUCUGAAAUAAGACUUUUCUUGGAAUCUCAAGCCCUCAACUUACAGUGGGACCCUAAGAAAUGCACUUCAGUUUCCUUUUAUGUAAAAUGGUGGUAAAAUUAAUUGUGUUCAUUAAAUUGCACACAACUAUACAUGUUUACCUAUACACUAAGUGGUUCUCAACUUGGGGCAAUUUGCCCCCCAGGGGACAUUCAGCAGUGUCUGCGGACAUUUUUUGUUGCUACUGGAGGGAGGUGCUACUGGCAUCUAGGGAGUGGAGGCUAGAGAUGCUGCUAAACUACAGUCCACAGGACAGUCUCCACAGCAAAGAAUUGUCCAGCCCCAAAUAUCAAUAAUGCCGAGGUUGAGGAAACCCUGCCACAUACACAUAGAUGCGGGUUAACAUUGUUUAUUUUACAAAGUGGAAUCAUUUACAUUUUAGCCAUUCUGAUAGAUGAAGCAGUGGCAUCUUUUUUUUUUUUUUUUUUUUUUUGAGACGGGGUCUCACUCUGUUGCCCAGGCUGGAGUGCAGGGUUGCAAUCACGGCUCACAGCAGCCUCGAAGUCCCAGGACCAAGCAACCCUCCCACCGCAGCCUUCCAAGUAACUGGGACUACAGGCACACAACACCAUGCCCAGCUAAUUUUUUAAUUUUUUUGUAGAGACGGGGUUUCACCAUGUUGCCCAGGCUCAAACUCCUGAGCUCACACGAUCUGCUGCCUUCACCUUCCAAAGUGCUGGGAUUACAGGUGUAAGCCACUAUGCCCAGCCUCAUUUGUACUUCAGUUUGCAAUUCUCUAUUAAUAAAUCUAAGCAUCUUUUCACA
This 3653-nucleotide long non-coding RNA is filed under the name Homo sapiens (human). Its description in RNAcentral is "non-protein coding lnc-POLR1A-3:1". Lineage: Eukaryota; Metazoa; Chordata; Mammalia; Primates; Hominidae. The record is from RNAcentral.